UGUACAGCAGAGUGCAGUUUAUUGCUUGCAUCUCUGCAGUAGCUAGAGGCUCUGAGCAGAUGUAAAUUAUAUUAUUUGCUAACAGUAUCUUCCAGUCAAACAGUAAAAGAAAUCCUCUGAAGGUUACAUGACUGAAGUAGAGGUGAAAACAAAAGUGAAAGGCUGAAUUCACUGCCUCAGUCUCUGUUACUGUCUGUUACUGUGUUUAUUAAGACCUUCAGCAGUGGAAAGCAUAAUCAAGUCUGAGCAGGUCUUCUUCAGCUCCAUACAGUGCAGUCAAGUCUCCACACCUUCGCUGUUAUCACCUGAGGUUGGACCAGAUGGCCUUCAGAAAUUCCUUCCAAGCUGCUGGUUUUGUCAGUGAUUACCUGUGUUAGCUUGACAUGCAUUGGACAGGAACUAGCAUACAACUGCAAAGAAUUCCAGAAAGAUCUCACAGUUGUUACUGGCUUUAAGAACACACAAACCUCUAACCAGCAGUCCUACACCUCUGAAGAACGAAAGCAUCAUCUCUGAGCUACAGAACUGCUGGUCAGGAAACGUUCUGGAGAAAGGUGCUUGCCUUUUCUUACAUUCUCCCUAGGCAACCACUGCUGGCCUCUGCCCCUUUGGAUCCCAUCCUUCAUCUAAGACCAAGCAUUAACCUGACCUGCACACAGUGCUUAAGUCCCCCCAGGAGAAAGGACUGCAGAAAAACUGAACAAAGAAAAUAACUGAUUGCACGAGACAACAAAUAGCAAAAGAGAGAUGACUGCAAUGGGACGCCUGCAGAAGCACCUCUGGCAGCACCCCGUACUUCAAGAAAAAGGGAUGAACUUCUGGAUUGAGCUAAUAAAACCGUGUGACAUCAGACAAACCCCCCACAGCAAGGUGCCUUCUGCCAACUCCUAGGCCCUGGAAGCUGACAGUCUGUGGUUGAUCACAAGUACGAUAUGGGAAUGGUGUUUGUGGGACAGCUCUAGCUGGGGCGACGUAUCUACUUCCUUCAAGCCUUUUCGAUGUUAUAAGCCCUUGCUAUACGAGUAGCUACAGAGAUUUUUGUCAUUUUUACUAGUUAAUUUGAAGAUGAUUCUAAAGACAACCCAGCACAGAAGGGUGCAUUUCAGAGAAAAGCAAAUAAUGUUUCCCCACCUCCACAUUCAAGUACAGUUAAGAGGCAACAGCAACGUAGGAUCACUGAAAAGCUGUCACAGUUCUUUUUACAGUGAAAAUCACCAGGUGUUCAAAUGAUUCAUACAUUUAAGUAAAACCAAAAUACACUCGUGAAAUUUCAAUGCUCGAACACAGAAACGUCACCGUGAACCCAUUCCCAGUGCAAGCGAAGAGCACAACAACACUUGGACAUCCUGGAGAAGGAAUUGAAGAGCUGAAAUCGACUUCCUAGUUAAUUAAUGCUUAAUUAAUCUUUGUUCAAGGAGGUGCGUGGCGGUUUGUAGAUUGCAAUGUUUAUCCAGGAGGUGCCCCAGUGUUCAUUGCUCCUGCCCACAAAAACUGCUUGGGUUAUAAUAUAACAGCACCUCCAGAGGAUCUCUGUUGCUCACAAAGAUUUCAUUCAUUAGGUGCAUCACCUCUGAGACGUUUUUGUUUGCUAGUACCUGUUUGUUUGUGGCUUGGUUGCUUUUUUGAUGUCUGAGAUUCCACUCAGUAGUUGACGCUUUAUUCUGAAAAUGAUCGCAUUUGUUUUGAGAAUAUUUGCUCUCUGAACUCUCAUUUAGUUUAAUAUGCCUAUUGUAAAUACCCUCAAUUGCCCCUUAAGGUAAAAGACCACAAGCUACGCUGUCAGAGCUCCUGCUUUGAGGAAGUUUGAUCUACCUUAAGCGAGAGUUUCUAGAGUAACGUUUCCAGAUGUCAGACCUCUCCCACUUCUCUUCCGCCACCCUCUCAAAUUGGAUAGGAAACAAGCAGUCUUCUGCUGGAGCUGAUAGGCUCCAAGAACAAAAUGCAGCAGUUCCCUAAUCAGCUUCCAACCAUAAAUAAUGCUGUGUUCUUUCCAUGUGAAUUGAUAUUUACAUCAACAUGUAAAUACCCUAAACAUCCACAGCCAAUCAGUUUGAUGUAGGUGUUGAUUUGCUGUCAUGUAGCACAUUAUGCUGCAUUAUGUUGCUGCACGUGCUGUGUAGAAAUCACUUGUUAAUGCUACAGUUUCCUCAACCUGUGACCAGGAGCAGCCUGCUGAGCAGAGCGGCGCAGGAAGGGUUCGUGCUCAGGCGCAGACCAAGGGCUUCGUAACCAAGGGCUACGGGCAGCUCCUCAGGAAAGCACAGAUAAGAUUUACAGCUAAGGUAAAGGCAGUUACAGAGCACCACGCACAACUUGACCAUGUGUUUAUAGUAAUUUUAUUUACAAGUUACCAUACAACACCUGUAGUACUACACUUUUUAUAACACCAUUAGAAGUAAAAUAAGUAACAUCUAGAAUAGGAGGCAGCAGAGAAAAAUGUGCACAGAGAAUGCAGAAAAGCUAUUCAGUUAUAAUUAAAAGUAGGCAUCGUUCUACACACUUCGAAAGCAAGGAGAAAUGUACAAGUUGAGAAGAGCGAGUUCUUCACCCCUGUUAGUUCUACAGCAUUAAAUUUUUUCUAACAGUGACAUCUCGGUAUGAUGAACACUACACACUAGCAGUCAAAUGCAAGUGCUGGGGAGAUUACUAUAUUGAUACCUUGUCCUUCCGAGGAAAAACAAAGCUUCCCUCUUUAAAGGAAAGUUAUCCAGGGCAGAUUUACUUGCAGAGCCAGUAGUGCAGAAAUGCUAUCAGGGGGCAGGAAGGACAGAAUUAAGACUAGAGAGUUCCCAUGCAUUGCAUAUUGCCUGUGCGUUCUUAUCUGGUCUUGAGUUAGUAGUCGGUGAACAAAACCAGUUGCAGCAUUCCCCAAGUCUUUUUACAGCGCCGUGAUCUUAUAAGGCCGUGUGUAGCUUAGCAGAAUCCCAAAAUCAAGCAGAGAAAAAAGCCCUUCUGCUCUCUUGUAAUCCUUGGCUCUAACGGUGCUGGUGUUGAGCCGGGGCCUUUCUCAAGAGGAAAAACAUGGAGGAGCAAUUCCGGAGAAGCUCCCUGGAUCUGGAUGUGUUCUGCUGAUAAACUCAGAGGAAAACAAGCUUAGUGCAGCAUCAGAUGCAACUCUUUUCUGCUUCAAAGCACUGCAGCAGCUUCCAGAAAGCAAACAAGUGUUAUGCAGGACUUUUUCCCCAGAAUACAUCAUUAACAGCCCGGAACAACUGUCAAUGCACAAAAUCCAUGCUAGCAGCAACCAUUGGAAAGACAAUGAAAAUAAAAGCUGCACAGUAAUAAUUACUUCCACUACUAACUACACACAGGAUAUAUUGCUUUUGGUACAAUGCCACUUAUUGUUAGAAGAAAACCAGUGACUACGUUGAGCACGCAUGAAUUAUGCAGAUCUUUGCCAUGCUGGAAUAACAGCAAAUUAUACUCAGAGAAACGUCAAGUCAGCUGUAAAAACGACUUAACACAGUUCUCCCCACAUACCAAACUACCCUCAAAAACAAGCCCACGAAUUAAGUUGAGCUACAAAAGAAUGUUUAAGAAAUGACCACAAUUUUAUUUUUCUUUAAUCCCCACCUUCUUCUGGAGUGCUGAUGUACGCUGCACACGAGAGCAAACAGAACACGUAGCUACAGUGACACCAACAACGCUCCUUUAAGCACUUCUGGAUGUGCCAACUGGCCUGCAGAAGUUUGUUCCCUCCACAUUUGCGCAUGCCUACUCAAAGAGCCUGCAAAAGUAAACAUGUACCAAAACUAACAAAACUUUAAAAACACCGAACAUUAAAACUUCUUUAGUCUAUGAACCUGAAUCUAAGAUGCCUCAACUACGAGAUAGAAUAUUUGUAAAUUUUAAGCAUUUCUAGGAACAGGAAGGUUUGAUAGCCAAAGUUUUCUCCCCUGCUAUUGAGAUUAAAGCUGAGCUAGGAGAAGGCCUGACUUCAAAUCUUCCCUGAGUUUUCAGCUCGCUGCUGCUAUCAUCGGUUCAGAGUUUCAAGCCAAGAUUCUGAAUAUUCAGCAUUUUUGCAUUUGCAGAUUUAAGGCAGAAAAGCAUCUUCAGAACAAGCUAUGUGUCUUGGACGUUGUGAUCGAAGCAGAAGGUGCAUCGUAAGUCUCCUGCUCAUAGCAGAUUGUUACCAUUCUGUUAUUUUUUAAACUCGCAGCACACUCACAGCUUUGGGUUACGCUUUUUUUUUUUGCUUGAAAAGCCUGAAUUUUGAUAUAGUUUCAGUAGUGCAGAAGAAUGCAUCAUAGCCAGGGAGAAUGAAGUUUUCCAUUGUUAUUUCUGGCUUUUGUAUUCAAGGCAUUAAAACAGUAAGGUGGAAUUAACAGAUGCUGUGCAAAACCCCAGCUGGAGCAAAGCCCAGGCGCCGGAGCUGCAGCACAGGACCUGCGCUGCCUGUGCAAGUGGGCUCCCCAAAGCCAGCGGCUGGAGCGUAACCAGCAGCCCUUGAGUCAGCUGCCCGUGAGCAGGGCCCGGCUCUGUGAAGUAUGGCUGCGUCCAUGGCCUUACAGAAUAACUGAAACAACCCAGACAUUUCUAAAAAGCAAACAAAGGGAGAGUUGUGAGACCACAGGGAAGCUACAGCCAUACAAAAUAAGGAGAAGAAAGAAUAAGAAAGUGACACCGAGUCAGACACAGCAGUCAAAGGACUGGGGAGAAAAAUACCAACAAGGAAUGUAUAAACCCUGAGGAAGAAAAGCAUCACUGGAAGACAGAAACUCAACGGGACCAAAGGUCAGCUCUGUGCAAGAAGCAACGGCAGGAGACAGAGAAGCAUUUAAAUCGACCAGUGGCACAACUGGGAGCACCACACAAAGCCACAGAAAGACCCACAAGAUACACAAAAGGAUUCAGCUCAGUGUUUUCAGGUGAGGCAGCAUGCUGGCUCUCCAGCAUUCUCAAGACAUUUCUUCCUUUUUUGUGGGGAAUCAGAAAAAUGCCCAAGGACUCCUUUUAUGUCCCUCACGUGCGAACCAGCCACCCCUGCACCAAGGGAAAUGAACUCCCAAAGGAUCACGCAUCGCUCUGCCAGAAUAAUUAACGGGGUGGAAAAGGGAAAGAACUGAAGAAGGGGUGAUGCUGCAAGGAAGAUGUGAGGACGCUUUAGAGAAAUGACAAGAGGUUUCCAGUAUUUACAGGGUAUUCAAGGAUUAAGAGUCAGAAAAGUUCAAACCAGGGUCUGCUGAACGUCAGGCUCAAGUUUCUAACAGCAACAAAGGACUCCUCACACUCCUCACACCACACGUGACCCAAGCGUAUCGCUCAUUUCCCAUCAUUUCACCUGCUUUAUAUUGCCCCUCAGAAACGAACACCCCAUCGCCAGGUCACAUGCUGUGCUUCCAGCAGCAAGAGUCUCAGGUGACCUGCCAGGUGCUUUUGCUUACCUGUUCUGAGGAUUCACACCAGUUUAUGUAAUAGGACCAGUAAUCUGUUGUGUAUCACCAGAACCGCAUGAAUCCCAAAGAAAGGUUUUUGGAACAGCUGAGACUUCAGCUUCACUUUGAAAAAGAAGACAAAGAAAAAAAUUGUCAUGGUAGCAAGAUGUACUGAAAAAAACAGGCAGAGUUCUGCAAGAUAGCUGAAGGAAAUACCCAAGGUGUGAGCACCUUACAAAGUGGAACAGUAAAGGCUUCACCAGAGCAACUUUCACCUCUUAAUUCCAAGAUCAGCCCUCAGUGAACGCGGUGUGAUGGAAGCUCAGCCCUGGCACCUGGCAGCGCCUGGAUGCUGUCCUGCAGAGGAACCAAAGCUCUUCCGCAUCGCUGACGUGGCACACAUUCAUGCGACGAAGAUUUUAAAUCUUCUACAAUUAUCAAAUGUUCAUUUUUUUCAGCUUGUCAAGCAUUACGCAAAUGCUACUUAGUAGAAAGUACAAUGAAACACACAGAAGUGAGAAGAUACUGGGGUUGUAGCUCUACAAAGCCCAACGGCAUCAAAUCUACACUGCUCAAACCAACAUGGUUAUAAUCAGAAGCAGUUCCUCAAGACUUUGUGAGCGCAGGAGCUCCUCCAGCGCUGGCUAUUCAGCCUGCACGGCACGCUGCUCACCAGAGCACACCACUCAAGCACUGAGCCUGCACACAGACCCCACAGCUCAUCUAUGCAGUCUUUGGCUCCGAGGUCUCACUACCCACUGCCCUUCAAAGCUCAGACAGGAAGGAUCGGCGUCCUAUUCUGGUGAACAAAGCAAAUAAAAGCAAAGUGUUUUCCAACUAAUCCUAUUUAAACAAGUGUGACAAAAACACUGAGUCCAGCAGCAGCUUGUCUAAACCUCUGCUGGGACGAUGCAGUUCAGUCAAACUUUGAAGUAACUCACUGAAACACACACUGCAAUGCAGCACACUGCUAGAGGGAACAGAGACAGACAAGGGCAGCCACAGCCAUGAAAAAGCAACGUGCAUAACUGCAUGUGUGGCAAAAUCAAACUCU
This is a long non-coding RNA of Tympanuchus pallidicinctus (lesser prairie-chicken), 6429 nucleotides long. RefSeq lists it as uncharacterized. The record is from RefSeq and is a predicted model, not a curated record. The transcript is spliced from 2 exons. Lineage: Eukaryota; Metazoa; Chordata; Aves; Galliformes; Phasianidae.